This 6075-nucleotide long non-coding RNA is filed under the name Coffea arabica (coffee). Its description in RNAcentral is "long non-coding RNA (CARA_LNC007724)". Lineage: Eukaryota; Viridiplantae; Streptophyta; Magnoliopsida; Gentianales; Rubiaceae. The record is from RNAcentral.
AACAUAGGAUUCCAUUAACAAAGAUCCCAAAUACAUUUCAUCUACAAAAGUACAAGUACAUGAAGAUUAUACACACUAUUUCAUGCUUACUUGCUCAGACCUCCAUUCCUGUAAGGAAAACAAAAACUAAAACAAUGAACUAAAAGUCCAGUGAGAUUCCCAAACAAGCACUCAGGUAGAUAAACUAUGGAAGUAUUACAUUUAACAAUUUGCACAGUAAUAAACAAUCAUUCAAGAAUCAAACAUUUAAUCAUUGGAAAGAUACGUACUCACUUGAAAUCGUGAAGUCGCCUACCAUUUCCCUUAUUCCUCCGACAUUUGAAAACAUUAAAAGUGAAAACUCUUUCAGUGUUCAUUUCAUUCAUUCAUUCAUUGCAUUGCAUUCACUGGCCAGUUCUCCACCUGAUUUCGUGGUCAUGCUCGAGUAUACCAAAUACUGUCCCAGUAUCACCAGCGGCCCGAUCGAAUCCGUUUCUAGUUCGAGUCGACUGGCAAUGAAGAGUAAGGGACUAGUUCAGCCAAAGGCAUACAUUCAUGCACAAGUAAUUCACUUAGGUCAAAUGCAAUAAAGUAUACACUCGCCCAUCGAAAAUCCAUUUAACAAUCAUUGAAAAGCAUUUAACAUCCAAGCAAAUAUUCACAAUAUUCCACAUAACCAUUGGAAGCACAACAUGCAAGGAACACUAACCGAUAUUAGUAGAUUAAAUAUCAACUCUUAGGAUAAUAAUCUUGAUCGCUACCAAAACCCUGAGGCAAGAUUCACAAUCACAAUAGGUUUAAAUUUCGUAGCUUCAACUAGCCACGUCUAGUAUUCCAAGGUAUUCCAUAUACUUCUCACUUUGAGCUCAAGACUUAAAGAUAAAAUCCAACACAAAUAUUCUAAAAGUGAAGAGAGCAAUUUAAGCAUCCAAAAUCACACCAAAUUAAGGUUUAAGACCUAGAAAAGUAUUCCAACUCCCACUCAAUUCAUUUGAUAAAAUUCUCAACUUUGGAGACAUUCUUUGAAAAAGCAUACCUUGACUUCCAUAGGUCAAAAUAUCACAAAACUUGCACCAUUAUAAAAUAGACUCGAAGCACUAACAGGCUUUAGAAGACAUCUUCAUGAAAUUCAGCUCAUAGGUUAGUCAAAUUUUAGUUCAAACUCACUGCUGUCUCAUGUGCAAAAAUAGGAUAGUCAUAGUUUUCAAGAAAGUUUACCGAUUUGCUGGUAUUUAUAGGAGUUGAACCAAAUCCUGAAUUUUAUAUCGUUGAAAGCCCUAUGAGUCUAGUUUCAAACGCAACAAUUGGAACUCAAUUUCGACUUUCCUAUACAAAGUUAUAGUCAAUUUCCCAAAACUGCGCAGGACUUCCUGUGAAAAUUUUCCAGCAAGUUAUUAGUUUGGAAAACUAGGUUUUUCCCCUUCUUAAACUUCUUUGUUUUGGUUGAAAACUAACACACAUGCAAAGAAAUAGAUUGUAACAAGUGUUUUGAGAAAAUUCAUAUGAAAGUUAGAAAUCUUAAAGAUCAACUUAAAUAUCCUUACGUAAACCAAGUCCGAAUUGAUCACAAAUCACACCUCUACUUCCACUUUUACUCACUUACCCCACAAGAAGAAAAUUGGGCAGCACCUCCCCUAUUUUUCUUAACUUUUCCCUCAAAUUUUUUAAGUUAAGUUUCAUGGCAAAAUAGCCCAAAUCAACUCCACAAGUUAUAAGAUAAAAGGGGUUCUUAUACUAGGUUACAAUACCAACUAAUUUAAACUUAUCUCUAGCAUAUAAACAUCACAUAUCUAAGUUGAAAAUUUUUCUACCAAGGCUGAAAAUUUGGAACUAAAGCUGGAAAUUCUUAUUUGCAAGCUAAAAGUCACAUUAAAGCUAUAAAUCUUCAUACAAGUCCAUAUCAAGGUUAGAUACCAUCAUAUCAUGGCUAAAAAAUAUAAUACAAAGCUGAAAAAUUCCACUAAUCUUCACAAAUCCAGGUUAUCUUCCAUAAAACUUCUAUAUUCAAGUCGUUUUCCUAAUAAAAUGCAAGAUGAGAAAGAGAAAGAAAGUUUUUCAACUUAAUACCUUCAACCUCUAGGAGAAAAUGAAAAAUUAAAACUUUCCUCUCCAAGUAACUCCACUACAAGUUUGUUCGGAUUAAACUAGUGAUUCUUGUUGAUCUUCACUCAAUCAAGGCAAGAUCAAGAUGAGAAAUGAAGCUCUCUUCCUCUCUUUUUCCCUCUCUUUGGUCGGCCAACAUGGAAGGAAAAUGAAGGGAAUUUUGGUAUUAGGAAAGAUAAGAAUGGAAGAAAACUUUUGGUCAAAGGUAGCUUUGAUUGCCAACACUUGGCAAUCAUCUACUUUUCCUCUUUUUUUUUUUUUUUCUUUUUCCUCUCUUUCUUGGUCAAUAAUUUUGGUCAGCCCUAGGAUAAAAUUAGGGAAAGGAAAAUUAAAGAAAAAUAAGAAGAUUUGGGAAAGAAAGUCUUGGUCGAGUGGUGUCUUUGACAGGUAACAAAUGGCGCGAGUCGGUUCAAACCUAUUUCUUUGUUUCUCUUGUACUUUUGUUUUAACUUAUGAUUCACUAACUUACUUUUAGCACUUUUAAUCAUAUACUUCCUUUUACUUAAUACCUACUCUUAUCCACAAAAUUUAGUACACACACCUCACCGAACUUCCUUCCUUGUUGCAACCGUCUAUGGAUGGAUUUAGGGUUUGAGGUUGAUUUUUUCACAAAAUCUAGUUAGGAAUCAAGAUGAAACUAGUAGAAACUUUCUCUCUUUUCUUGCUUGAGGGAGUCGAGCAAAGGGAGGAAGAAAGAUGAUGGAUUUUUCUUCAAUUUUUCAAGAUAAGAGCAAGGACAAGUCUUUGGUUAAAGGGGCUCAGUCAAACUUUAAGAGAUGAGUGACAAAUGGCGGCAAAUGGUUCAAAUCUAUCUCUUUGUCUCUCUUGUGUUUCUAAUCUCCAAGGAUCUAUUUGGAUUCAGCAUUUUUUUGAAAAAUAAUUUUUUCACCUACAAUACUACAGUAAUACACAAACAAAAACAACUCCAAAAACAUCAUAUCUAAACAAUAUAUCAAAAACAACUCCAAAUAUACAAAAAAAUUCAAAAUUUUUGAUUUCAAAUUAUGCGAAUUUGGUUCAAAUUCGGCAAUGGAGUUUUUGAAAUCGAAAAUAGAAAUCAGAUUUUUUUAUUUCAAUUUCGUUUUAUAUUAUAUAUAUAUUAAUAUUUAUUUAUUUAUAUAUAUAAUAUUUUUUAUUUCAAUUUUAUUUUAUAAUAUGUAUAUUUCAAUUAUGUAUAUUAUAUUAUAUAUAUAAAUUACAUUAAUAUUAAUAUGUAUAUUUCAAUUAUGUAUAUUAUAUUAUAUAUAAAAAUUAUAUUAAUAUUAAUAUGUAUAUUUCAGUUAUGUAUAUUAAUAUGUAUAUUAUAUAUAUAAUAUCAAUUGAAAUAAAUAUAUAUAUUUAUAUAUAAAUAUAAAUAUUUUGUUUAAAAUAUAAUUAUAUAAAUAUAUUUAUUUCAAUUUUGUUUUAUAAUAUGUAUAUUAAUAUAGAUUAAUAUGUAUAUUUCAAUUAUGUAUAUUAAUAUGUAUAUUAUAUAUAUUAUAUCAAUUGAAAUAAAUAUUAUAUAUUUAUAUAUAAAUAUAAAUAUUUUAUUUAAAAUAUAGUUAUAUAUAUUUAUAUUUAUAUUUAUAUUUAUAUAAAUAUAUUUAUUUCAAUUUUGUUUUAUAAUAUGUAUAUUAAUAUAUAUUAAUAUGUAUAUUAUAUUUCAAUUAUAUAUAUAAAUUAUAUUAAUAUUAAUAGGUAUAUUUCUAUUAUGUAUAUUAUAUCAAUUGAAAUAAAUAUAUAUUUAUAUAUAAAUAUUAAUUUUGUUUUAAAGAUAUGUUUAAAAUAUGCCUUAUACUUUGCAAAAAUCUUAGCAGUCCAAAAUUACCUCAAAGAUCUAGCACUCAACCCAACAGAAGCAUCAAACAGAACCUAAAGAUAUUUUCGAGUUAUCAUAUUAACCCCAGAAAAAGUUGUCCAGAAAUAGCAGAACAUCCCUGUAGACACACUAAAUUAAACACCCAUUGUAUAUACACUCUGGACUACUUCAUUUUUAAAGCCUCUAUUAUUAUGCAUAGAUACAAUAGACCUCCUAGACUUAAUGUCAAUGGACAAAGACUUGUUUUAACCCCACAACUUCUCAUGGAUUAUGGAUUUAUUGAAAAUAUUUAUUUCAUAAGACUAGAUGAUACUUUCAGGAUGGGGACACAUUUGGCAUAUUUUGUAAGAAGAAUGUUAGAUUAUGGUGAUUGGGUAAAAGUCCAGAUCAGAUCAGCACCAUCAGAAUGGAUCGGGCUAUUUGAUUUUGAACCCACAAUACACAGAAUCAAAAUAUUAGUUAGCAAUAUAUGACCAAUUUUUGAAGGAAUAAUCCCUGCAAAUCAAAUUGUAGAAUGUCCAGCAUCUUUAGAAGAACAGCUCAGACAGAAGAAAGCAGUACAAUUGGCGUACAGACAUUUUAAGGCAGACUGGAGAGAUUUGAGACUUGUUUCUGAGAGCAAAUUUCAAAAAAUUUAUACUCCAUACAACUUUAAUUUGGAAAAAGAUUUUACAAUCCAGACUACUUACCCAGAAUUUUUUCAAGAACACUUGGAAGAUUAUAUGGGUGAAGACAGAAGAAAUAUGGAUAUAGAACCAUUAGUCAUAGCACCAGGAGCAGAAGAACAAGAUAUGAAAGACUUUUGGGAUACAACUCAUUAUUACAACAGCAUGACCCCAGAAGAAAUCCAUAACAUCGAAAACAUGAUGGAAGGCUAAAACACUAAGUCUUGUCGGCCAUUCCUCAGUAGAAGACAACCAGCAGGAAAAGAGUACUUUCCGGAUUUAAAAACUUUGAAAUCCGAAAGCUGUACAUAAUAAUGACAGCUGAUUAGAAAGAAAGUUUUUUAGGUCAUUUGUCGGCCACAUUCUUUUAGAAAAAGUCCGGAUUCCAAACUAAUUGAAAUCCGAAGGUCACAUUUUAGAAAAAGUCCGGAUUCCAAACUAGUUGAAAUCCAAACAGUUUUUUCUUUAUAUACCUCAAGAGUGCUCAUUCAUCGAAUAGUAUGAAACCUUGUGAGCAACCUGAGCAUAAGGCAUACUUGUAAAGUAUAACCUCUCUAAUCUCUCUCAAGUACCAAGUACUCAUAACCAUAUGCAUAUUUUAAAAGCUGACAUUUGCUUGUGAAUACAAUACCCUGUAUGAAUUACUAUAAUUUCACUAGUACACCAUAACAAGCAUACGACGUAGCUUUAAGAGAACUUAAAACACCUAAUACUUAUCAUUUUUUCAGUAAUAUAUUAGAAACCUUAGAAACUAUAGAUCAGUGUAAAGCAUAUUUAAUAAUUUUAGAAAAGUUAGUCAUCACCACCCUUCCUCAUUUAUUAGAAAUAUUAGACAAGCUAAAAUAGAUUUAGUAUACAAUAGAAUCCAAAACCUAAACAUAGAAAAAGAAAUCCAAGAAAGUAUAUCUGAACAAGCAAGAUCUUCUAAAACAAAGUGGUUCAUUUAAUUGAUUUCUAAAUUUUUGGAUUAAAACAAAGUGGUUCAUUUAAUUGAUUUUUAAAUUUUUGGAUUUUAAAUUUUUGGUUCAUUUAAAAAUUUGGUAGAGGUUAUACCUUCCUUUUAUUGCAUCGUCUUAUUAUCCUUCUGAUGCAAUGAGAGUGGGAAUCCUAUUCUCCUAAGAGAUUUGCCUCGCCCGAUCUUCCUUGUAGCCUUCAACGCCUUCCUGGCAACACGGCUCUAGUGGUACUACACGGUCUUUUGGUCUUUUUAAGGCUCUUAGUCACAGGGUAUCUCUCUCAAAGUUUCCGGUAAGACUGCAAUCUAGGGUUGGCUGCUACUAACCUCUACUCUCUGUUUCCCUUACCUCCUUCUAAGUAAUUGGUUUUGGAUAUGGUUGGUUUUGGAUGAACUGAGAUAUCUAUUGAAUGCAAAAAUUUACAGGUAGAAUUUACAAGUAUGCCUUAUACUCAGGUUGCUCACAAGGUUUCAUCCUGUUCGAUGAAUGAGCACUCUUGAGGUAUAUAUAGAAAAAACUGUUCGGAUUUCAACUAGUUUGGAAUCCGGACUUUUUCUAAAAUGUGGCCUUCGGA